CAUCGCCUCCAUUUCUUCCGCUUCGUCUUCUUCUUCCUCUUCAACCGUUAAACCUCCAAAACCCUAGAAAUGAUCCUCACCAAGCUCUCCCGCCAAAAGCCACCUCCCCUCUUCCUCUCCUCCACGCGCCGCCUCCUCUCCUCCGCCGCCGCCUCCUCCUCCUCGAGGCUCCGCUCUCUCUACUCCUUCGAGCCACCGCCGUCGCUCCAUCCCCAGAGCCCCGGCCCCGGCCCCGGCCCCAGACCUCCGUCGAAGAAGAAAACCAAACCGCCGUACCGUCCCCCGUCGUCGCUCGACCGGACCAAGAUCAAAGCCGUGAAGUCGGACCUGCCGUUCGAUUUCAGGUUCAGCUACACGGAGAGCAGCCCCAACGUGCGGCCGAUCGGGCUGAGGGAGCCCAAGUACUCCCCGUUCGGGCCGGGCCGGGUCAACCGGGAGUGGACCGGGGUCUGCGCCCCGGCGGCGGACCGGAGGGCGAGGUCGGUGGAGGAGGGAGCCGAGGACCCGAAGCUGGAGGAGAAGAGGCAGGCGAUGAGGGAGAGUAUCCAGGGGGAGCCGCUCACCGGGGCCGAGAGGAAGAUUCUGGUGGAGAGGUGUCAGAGGCACAGGACCAAAAGGCAUAUUAAUUUAGGGAGAGAUGGCUUAACUCACAACAUGUUGAAUGAUAUCCAUAAUCACUGGAGGCGUGCUGAGGCAGUCAGGAUUAAAUGUAUGGGUGUCCCAACGGUUGAUAUGAAAAAUGUUUGCUUCCAGCUGGAGGAUAAAACCUUUGGAAAGAUAAUUCAUAGACACGGUGGUCAGCUUGUUUUGUACAGAGGUAGAAACUAUAGUUCCAAGAAAAGGCCUGCAGUACCAUUAAUGUUGUGGAAACCCCAUGAACCUAUAUAUCCCAGGUUGAUCAAAACCACGAUUGAGGGCCUGAGCAUCGAAGAAACCAAGGAAAUGAGGAAAAAAGGACUAGCUGUGCCUGCGCUAACAAAGCUUGCCAAAAAUGGCUACUAUGGCAGUCUAGUACCAAUGGUCAGGGAUGCAUUUCUCACCAAUGAGCUCAUUCGGAUAGACUGCCGCGGACUUGAGAAAAGCGAUUAUAAGAAAAUAGGAUGCAAACUUAGGGACCUAGUUCCUUGCAUCCUUGUGACAUUUGAGAAGGAACAGAUUGUUGUGUGGAGAGGGCAGGACUAUAAGCCUCUGGAGGAUGUACAGUUCCCUAUGGAAUGGGAUGAAAAUCCAAACGGCAAAUCACUUGAUGGCAUUGAGGGUGUUCGUAUCUCGGAUAGCAGCAGUAAUGAGCAGUGGUUGAGCUCGAGUGACGAUGACGAGUCGUCAAAUUCCUGAGUUUACUCAGCAGAGCCAUCUAUGCAUUUGCUGUGUCAGAUUGAGUUUGUAUCAGGAAAGUGUAUUCAGAAGGCGAAGUCUUGCUUCUGGGUUGCUUGAGUUUGUAUCAGGAAAGUGUAUUCAGAAGGCAAAGUCUUGCUUCUGGGUUGCUUGCAAGGACUGAAAGAGACGCGUCCCAGGAAACUUCCCGGAUAUUUCUCAAGUGAUUACUGAUAUGCUCAAUCUCGGUUCGAAAGGGAAAAACGAGAACCGGAAAGGAUGGAUUGUACUGUAGCAAAAGGCUUCUCACAAUUCAAGAGCAUAGGCAUGGGUGGGUUCCGGGCUCUGGUCCUAAGGUUGGGCUUUUCUGUGCCCAUGCAUCUCGACCGUCAGUUUCAGCAGACAGCGUCAGCAACUGGGGGACGCAGUGGUGAAUUGUUGCUGUAACGCAAUUGGAUUACGAAGCGUGCGAAUUGCCUCUCCAAAUCCGUUCCUUCAUGUGGUGGAAAACGAACGGAGAGAACAGUACAAUGAAAUUGACGGAGAAGAAUCGAGAAGUGGCCCAAGUCCUGUCGGGCUAAUUUCUUCAUCCGUCGUCCGCCUACGAAAAGAAGCGAAAAGGUGACGUGGUGGAGCCCCGCAUGUCGUGCCGACCGUCUUCCGAGACGCUACACACGGAGGAAAAUUGACGGACAAGAAUCGAGGGAAGGAGGAGGAAGUGGAGAGAGAGAGAGGGAGGCCAGCGUCAUCUACAGUAAUGCCGCCACGUUUCUCCAUCAGGGAGGAGGGCUUUUGCAAAAAAGGCAGAGCACGCUCUUGUGGCCUUGGAUCGAUUCCCACGAGAAAGCGUGUGGUGCGACGAUCUUUUUCAGUGACGUUGCCGGGUGCUAUUAAACUAUCGUUUUCUGAAAUUAUUACUCUAUUUUGAUUCCGGCUAUAAGAGAAAUCACGUGUCGGCUUAUGCCGACCGCAAUGGUGUCGGGUCCACGCUUGGGCUUGGAGUAUUUCCCAAUAAGCAGUCUGCAUAAGAAGUUUUCAUCA
Eucalyptus grandis is the source of this 2355-nucleotide RNA transcript. It is a transcript of the gene named CRS2-associated factor 1, mitochondrial, with no coding region annotated. The transcript is spliced from 6 exons. Lineage: Eukaryota; Viridiplantae; Streptophyta; Magnoliopsida; Myrtales; Myrtaceae. The record is from RefSeq and is a predicted model, not a curated record.